This 472-nucleotide ribosomal RNA is filed under the name Nectonemertes cf. mirabilis AVC-2018. RNAcentral describes it as "partial 16S ribosomal RNA". It matches the Rfam family "Bacterial large subunit ribosomal RNA", at positions 1887 to 2597 of the family's 2925-position model. Lineage: Eukaryota; Metazoa; Nemertea; Enopla; Monostilifera; Nectonemertidae. The record is from RNAcentral.
UGUUUCUUGUUUUUUUUAAGAAAUAUUUUCUGCUCAGUGGUUUUAAAUAGCCGCAGUAGUUUGACUGUGCGAAGGUAGCAUAAUAAUUUGUUUUAUAAUUUAGGACUGGAAUGAAUGGGAUAACAGAGAAUUAACUUUCUUCUAUUUUUGUAUAGAAUUUGUUUUUUAUGUGAAGAAACAUAAAUUAAAUAAAGGGACAAGAAGACCCUUUUGAGCUUUAUUUUAAAUUAAUUAAUUAAGUAAGUUAUAUUAAAAAUUUAGUUGGGGCGAUUAAGGAAGAAAUAAUCUUCUUUAGUAAAUAUAUUUUUGAUCCUUAGUUAUUGAUUGAAAGAUUUAGUUACCAAAGGGAUAACAGCGUAAUUUUUUUUGUGAGUUCUUAUUAAAAAUAAAGAUUGCGACCUCGAUGUUGACUUUUAUUAAUCCUUUAGGUGUAGAAGUUUGAAAGGAAGGUCUGUUCGACCUUUAAAUUUAA